This 428-nucleotide long non-coding RNA is filed under the name Homo sapiens (human). RNAcentral's name for it is "non-protein coding lnc-FOXD3-4:1". The record is from RNAcentral. Lineage: Eukaryota; Metazoa; Chordata; Mammalia; Primates; Hominidae.
GCAAACUCACCGCGCGCCCGCCGGGGAUAGCUUUCCAUACAGGUAAAACCGAAAACCGAAUUUUCCAAAAAUGCACCCCGACGGCGCCUGCUCUUAGUACCGUGGGGAUGGGAGGGAAAUUCUUUGUAUAUAUUUGUAAAAAAAUUAUUGACUUUCCUUUUGGGGUUUUUAUUUUUUUAAGAAAAAACAAAUUCCGUAGAUUUAGAGCUCUGAACUUUCAUUUUUUUUGAAGGUUCACUCUCCGAAGUUUUAUCUGAGAAAAGAAUGUAUAGAGACGUUGGGAGAUUUUAAAUAUAAAAAAUUUUCAAAAAGGCAAAAAGUGUCAUUCUAUUAUAAAAGUCUGUUUAUAUAUGAAUGAAUAUAUAUGGUAUUCUAAAUGUUAUUCCAUCGUGUUGUACACAACUUUGUAAAUAAAUUUUUAAAAUGCC